UGGGGAAUCUUGCGCAAUGGGCGAAAGCCUGACGCAGCAACGCCGCGUGAGCGAUGAAGGCCUUCGGGUCGUAAAGCUCUGUCAAGUGGGAAGAACACAAUGACGGUACCACUAGAGGAAGCCCCGGCUAACUUCGUGCCAGCAGCCGCGGUAAUACGAAGGGGGCAAGCGUUGUUCGGAAUUAUUGGGCGUAAAGCGUAUGUAGGUGGUCUUUCAAGUCAGACGUGUAAGCCCUCGGCUCAACCGAGGAAUUGCGUUUGAAACUGAUUGACUUGAGUGUAGGAGAGGAAAGCGGAAUUCCCAGUGUAGCGGUGAAAUGCGUUGAUAUUGGGAAGAACACCGGUGGCGAAGGCGGCUUUCUGGCCUGCUACUGACACUGAGAUACGAAAGCCAGGGGAGCAAAGGGG
This 407-nucleotide ribosomal RNA is filed under the name uncultured Anaerolineaceae bacterium. Its description in RNAcentral is "bacterial SSU rRNA". It matches the Rfam family "Bacterial small subunit ribosomal RNA", at positions 355 to 776 of the family's 1533-position model. The record is from RNAcentral. Lineage: Bacteria; Bacillati; Chloroflexota; Anaerolineae; Anaerolineales; Anaerolineaceae.